CCUACGGGUGGCAGCAGUGGGGAAUAUUGCACAAUGGGGGAAACCCUGAUGCAGCGAUGCCGCGUGAAGGAAGAAGUAUUUCGGUAUGUAAACUUCUAUCAGAAGGGAAGAAAAUGACGGUACCUGACUAAGAAGCCCCGGCUAAAUCCGUGCCAGCAGCCGCGGUAAUACGUAGGGGGCAAGCGGUAUCCGGUUUUACUGGGUGGAAAGGGAGCGUAGACGGCAGGGCAAGUCUGGUGUGAAAGGCAGGGGCUCAACCCCUGGACUGCAUUGGAAACUGGCAGGCUAGAGUGCAGGAGAGGUAAGUGGAAUUCCAAGUGUAGCGGUGAAUUGCGUAGAUAUUAGGAGGAACACCAGUGGCGAAGGCGACUGACUGGACUGUAACUGACGUUGAGGCUCGAAAGCGUGGGGAGCAAACAGGAUUAGAUACCCCUGUAGUC
This 440-nucleotide ribosomal RNA is filed under the name uncultured bacterium. RNAcentral describes it as "partial 16S ribosomal RNA". It matches the Rfam family "Bacterial small subunit ribosomal RNA", at positions 338 to 795 of the family's 1533-position model. The record is from RNAcentral.